CAAGUCGAACGCGAAAACCCCGCAAGGGGUUAGUAGAGUGGCAAACGGGUGAGUAACACGUGGGUGACCUACCUUCGAAUGGGGGAUAACGUCCCGAAAGGGACGCUAACACCGCAUAACAUCCUGCUUCUGAACAAGUGGAGAUCAAAGCCGGGGAUCGCAAGACCUGGCGUUUGAAGAGGGGCCCGCGUCUGAUUAGCUAGUUGGUGAGGUAACGGCUCACCAAGGCGACGAUCAGUAUCCGGCCUGAGAGGGCGGACGGACACACUGGGACUGAGACACGGCCCAGACUCCUACGGGAGGCAGCAGUGGGGAAUUGUUCGCAAUGGGCGCAAGCCUGACGACGCAACGCCGCGUGGAGGAUGAAGGUCUUCGGACUGUAAACUCCUGUUGCCCGGGACGAAACGUCUCGACCUAACACGUCGAGAUCUGACGGUACCGGGUGAGGAAGCCCCGGCUAACUCUGUGCCAGCAGCCGCGGUAAUACAGAGGGGGCAAGCGUUGUUCGGAAUUACUGGGCGUAAAGGGCGCGUAGGCGGCCUUCUAAGUCGAACGUGAAAUCCCCGGGCUCAACCCGGGAACUGCGUCCGAUACUGGAAGGCUUGAAUCCGGGAGAGGGAUGCGGAAUUCCAGGUGUAGCGGUGAAAUGCGUAGAUAUCUGGAGGAACACCGGUGGCGAAGGCGGCAUCCUGGACCGGCAUUGACGCUGAGGCGCGAAAGCCAGGGGAGCAAACGGGAUUAGAUACCCCGGUAGUCCUGGCCCUAAACGAUGAAUGCUUGGUGUGGCGGGUAUCGAUCCCUGCCGUGCCGAAGCUAACGCAUUAAGCAUUCCGCCUGGGGAGUACGGUCGCAAGGCUGAAACUCAAAAGGAAUUGACGGGGGCCCGCACAAGCGGUGGAGCAUGUGGUUCAAUUCGAC
RNAcentral lists this ribosomal RNA (918 nucleotides) under uncultured Acidobacteriota bacterium. Its description in RNAcentral is "bacterial SSU rRNA". It matches the Rfam family "Bacterial small subunit ribosomal RNA", at positions 58 to 955 of the family's 1533-position model. Lineage: Bacteria; Pseudomonadati; Acidobacteriota. The record is from RNAcentral.